RNAcentral lists this ribosomal RNA (492 nucleotides) under uncultured bacterium. RNAcentral describes it as "partial 16S ribosomal RNA". It matches the Rfam family "Bacterial small subunit ribosomal RNA", at positions 28 to 507 of the family's 1533-position model. The record is from RNAcentral.
GAUGAACGCUAGCUACAGGCUUAACACAUGCAAGUCGAGGGGAAACGGCAUUAAGUGCUUGCACUUUUUGGUCGUCGACCGGCGCACGGGUGAGUAACGCGUAUCCAACCUUCCCAUUACUAAGGGAUAACCUGCCGAAAGGCAGACUAAUACCUUAUGGUCUUCACUGUCGGCAUCUGAUGUUAAGUACUGUUUUAUCUGUUAUGGAUGGUGAUGCGUCUUAUUAUCUUGUUGGCGGGGUAACGGCACACCAAGGCAACGAUAAGUAGGGGUUCUGAGAGGAAGGUACACCACAUUGGAACUGAGAAACGGACCAAACACCUACGGGAGGGAGCAGUGAGGAAUAUAGGUAAAUGGGCGAGAGCCUAAACAAGCCAAGUAGGGUGCAGGAAGACGGCGCUAUGGGUUGUAAACUGCUUUUGUAUGGGGAUAAAGUCAAACAAGUGUGAUUGUUUGAAGGUACCAUAAGAAUAAGGACCGGCUAAUUCCGUG